ACGGGGUGCAGCAGGCGCGAAACCUUUACACUGCACGCAAGUGCGAUAAGGGGACCCCAAGUGCGAGGGCAUAUAGUCCUCGCUUUUCNCGACUGUAAGGCGGUCGUGGAAUAAGAGCUGGGCAAGACCGGUGCCAGCCGCCGCGGUAAUACCGGCAGCUCAAGUGAUGACCGAUAUUAUUGGGCCUAAAGCGUCCGUAGCCGGCCACGAAGGUUCAUCGGGAAAUCCGCCAGCUCAACUGGCGGGCGUCCGGUGAAAACCACGUGGCUUGGGACCGGAAGGCUCGAGGGGUACGUCCGGGGUAGGAGUGAAAUCCCGUAAUCCUGGACGGACCACCGAUNNCGAAAGCACCUCGAGAAGACGGAUCCGACGGUGAGGGACGAAAGCUAGGGUCUUCGAAC
RNAcentral lists this ribosomal RNA (401 nucleotides) under Haloferax prahovense. Its description in RNAcentral is "bacterial SSU rRNA". It matches the Rfam family "Archaeal small subunit ribosomal RNA", at positions 325 to 724 of the family's 1478-position model. The record is from RNAcentral. Lineage: Archaea; Methanobacteriati; Methanobacteriota; Halobacteria; Halobacteriales; Haloferacaceae.